This 406-nucleotide ribosomal RNA is filed under the name uncultured archaeon. RNAcentral describes it as "bacterial SSU rRNA". It matches the Rfam family "Archaeal small subunit ribosomal RNA", at positions 4 to 408 of the family's 1478-position model. The record is from RNAcentral.
CUGGUGAUCCUGCCGGCGGCCCGCUAUUGGAAUACGCUUAAGCCAUGCGAGUCGAGAGGGUUCGGCCCUCGGCGCACCCUCAGUAACACGCGGAUAAUCCGCCCUUGGAUCGGGGAUAGCUCGCGAAAGUGAGUAUAAUACCCGAUAGGUCUCGAAUGCUUGGAAAUGCUUUGAGGUCGAAAGUUGCGGCGUCCAAAGGAUGAGUCUGCGGGCCUAAUCAGGGUUGUAGUGGGGGUAAAGGCCCCACUAACCUAUUACGGGUACGGGUUCUUGGGAGAGAUCGCCCGGAGAUGGGUUCUGAGACAUGAACCCAGGCCCUACGGGGGGCAGAAGGGGCGGAAAACUUCCGCACUGUGGGAAACCCACGACGAGGGUAUUUCCAGGGGCUUAAUACUAAGUAUAAGCU